Molecule: long non-coding RNA, 217 nt
Filed under: Elaeis guineensis (African oil palm)
Lineage: Eukaryota; Viridiplantae; Streptophyta; Magnoliopsida; Arecales; Arecaceae
Description: long non-coding RNA (EGUI_LNC057916)
Source: RNAcentral
UCCGAUCUCUAUGGAUAUCCACACGAGACUUCGAUCUGAUCAGAAGCUUAUUAAUCUCAUCGAGGUGCUAGUUCUCUUGCAGAGAUCAUAUCUUGAUAGUUGAAAUUUUUUUUUCUCUUAAGACACUCUUAGAGAAGAAGAAAAAAUAGGAGGAUAUUGAUCUCUACGCUAGAGAUCAUGAGAAAAAUUUUUUCUUCUCAUUUCUUCCUAAAACCCA